Molecule: ribosomal RNA, 324 nt
Filed under: uncultured bacterium
Lineage: Bacteria
Description: bacterial SSU rRNA
Rfam family: Bacterial small subunit ribosomal RNA
Source: RNAcentral
AAUCAACGCUGGCGGCGUGCCUCAGACAUGCAAGUCGAACGAUUAAAGCUCUCUUCGGAGAGUGCAUAGAGUGGCGCACGGGUGAGUAACACGUAAGUAAUCUACCCUCGAGUGGGGAAUAACGUCCGGAAACGGACGCUAAUACCGCAUAAUGCAGCGGCACCGCAAGGUGACAGUUGUUAAAGGAGAAAUUCGCUUGAGGAGGAGCUUGCGGCAGAUUAGCUUGUUGGUAAGGUAACGGCUUACCAAGGCUACGAUCUGUAACCGGUCUUAGAGGACGGUCGGUCACACUGACACUGAAUAACGGGUCAGACUCCUACGGGA